Molecule: long non-coding RNA, 250 nt
Organism: Rhinichthys klamathensis goyatoka
Lineage: Eukaryota; Metazoa; Chordata; Actinopteri; Cypriniformes; Leuciscidae
Exons: 3
Source: RefSeq, a predicted model, not a curated record
UAACUCUAGGCGAUAUUUGUGGGAGCGCUCAGUACUCUAUGUGUCGAAACAUGCCCAAGGGACCAUUUCCAACUUCCAGAUUUGCAGUGCUGCCCUAACUGCCUAGAAGGUUGGUAUGUUGCCAAGAACUGCUCCGAAGGAUCCGGAGUCUACAUUGGUGUGGGUUGUAAUAAAUGCAGCAGAUGUGAAGAAACUGGACAGAUAACUGUUUCCAGCUGCACGCAGUUCGCAGACACACAGUGUGCCAUGG